CGACCUGAGCUCAGGGCAAGAUACC
This 25-nucleotide ribosomal RNA is filed under the name Bracteacoccus bullatus. RNAcentral's name for it is "partial 28S ribosomal RNA". Lineage: Eukaryota; Viridiplantae; Chlorophyta; Chlorophyceae; Sphaeropleales; Bracteacoccaceae. The record is from RNAcentral.